Long non-coding RNA from Diorhabda carinulata, 2539 nucleotides. RefSeq lists it as uncharacterized. Lineage: Eukaryota; Metazoa; Arthropoda; Insecta; Coleoptera; Chrysomelidae. The transcript has 3 exons. The record is from RefSeq and is a predicted model, not a curated record.
AACAUAAAAGUGCACCUUAAAUUAUCUAGUUUUUUGCCAAAACUUGAAAUCUGGCAGAUCCAUCUAGGGCUCAAAACUUUCAUUAGAAAAUUGAUUCAACCUCGGAUCAUCUGUGUGAAACGUUUAUGAAAUAGGUUAGGUUAGGUUAGGUAGUUAGUGGAUGGUGACGGAGAAUUUUCAACCACCAUACAGUCGCACGACUACCACCUAUUAUAAGUAAUGAAGGCUUGGGGUGUAUCAGUGGUUGAACUCGCAGAUGACAGAUUUCUGCAAAGGUAUGGAAAAAUAACCCCACCUUCCCUACCGAAAUUUAUAUAAUAAUUCUUCUCACGUUGUUUAUUUUCUAUUCCAAAACGCCUAUUAUUUGCUGGACAGUCUCGUAUCUACCGAACCAUUGUAAGAAGAAUAGGAUAGUAGAUUAACCUUAUGAGGAUAUCAUUUGACGAGGUGGACGCCACAAAUAGAUGGCAGUGGAGAGUUGGCGUCCACAGCACGUCUUUUCUUAAUGUACAUCGUAGCUUGAAUUACGUGUUUUCUUAGCUUUGGUUGCCGAAUUACCCCAAUAACAGAUGGCGCCAAAAUUAUUUACAAUAUUAUAUUCAACCCUUAAGCUGUGUUGUAAAGUUUCUUAUUUUGAGUGCCUAUAGCAAAGUUGCAAUUUGAGUUCAUUAUUGUAUUGUGUUCGUUGUGUUAUUGUUGAGUUUCGCUGGUUGUGGAUUUGGAUUAUCUUAAUCUAUCUAUCUUUGAACUUGAAUAUAUAUUCCAUUUUUAAGAAAUGGCUGGAAAUAAGUGUGUUUAUUUCAAGUGUGGACUAAGUAAGAGAUCAGAUCCUACAAUUAAAAUUUGCCGAUUUCCUGUGAAUGACCUUACCAGAUGUCAAAAAUGAAUCAUACACUCGGGCAGAAGAUCCACUUGAAAAUCAAUUUUCUGUUUAUCGUCAAAGAGGAGUGUAUAAGAGAAACCCAACAGUGAAAGCAUUUCGAGCUGCAUUUGAAAUAAAUAUUGUCGCCAAUUUAAUGAGGCCACCUAGAAGUGCUAAUGCAGGGAGUCAACUGGAUGAUUAUGAUAAUAUACUGCUUUUACCAACAGAUGACAAUGAAGCACUCGCUUCAUUGUCAUCUGUUGAAGAAGAAUCAUCAUCCAAACAAACGGAUUUAUCCACCAAUUCAAUUUCUUCCGAGGUACAUUCAAAUGAUAUUGCGACGUUAGAAAAUUGUUCUGUUGUAUAUAGUAUAUUUUGGGGGUUAUUUAAAAAAUGUUUAGAUCGCUUCGAUUGCAAAGACUGUAAAGUCAGUUUAGAAGCUUCUGAUGACAUAAACAUAAAUAUGACAAAAAUAUAGGGACAAUUUCAGAUAAUAAAAUAAUAUUAAAUUUGGAAAAGAAAAUUGUUGGAAAAAUAGAAAAAAUUCUUCCCGAGUGGUAUGCAACAAAUGCAAUCUGUUGAGGUCAUAGGCAAUACAUUUUCAAUUUAUUAUUGCGAACUCAGAUUUUCAAAUAUUGUAAAACUUUUUUAAGUUCAUUAAAAACUAGACAAACUAAAAAAAAUGAUAAAUUAUCGAUAAUUCAGCAUAACUGAACAACCAAUAUAUUUUAUAUGUUUCUUAUGGUAUAUUCUUUCUGUUUUUUUGGUAAAUCAAUACACAAUCUUUUUUAUGUCAACGUUUCGGUAGCGUUGAUCCAGCUGCCGUUAUGAAGAAUAAUGUUUUAUGAAAUUGUUGGUCCCUAACUGACAUUAAUGAAAAAAUUCGAAAACUAGAACAUCAAUAAUAUUAUAUAUUAGUAUAUAUAAUAAGAUGGUUUAAGACUGAUGCAAAAAAUUGUCGUACAUUUUUCAAGGUCCAUUCACAGUAGAUUAUAUUUUCGAUAAAAGGUGAAUAUUGAAAUAUUUGUGUGGAUUGUGGUUUGAUUUCCAAUAUUCAACAACAAAAAGAAUAAUCAAUAACCAAUAAUAAUCAAAGUUUUUAUUUAUAGUAGGUGUUUCAGUAGUAAAUGUGAUUACUUGACUGAAGAAUAUCUAGAGCUCAUCGCGAGUAGAUUCUACACGUACUACAUUUUUGGGAUUUUACAGUCUUUUUAACGGAGAUUCAGGUUGUUUAGUGGAUUUUGUCCAUUUCUUUCUGUGGUCAAAAUUAAACUACUUUGUAUAUUUUCUUGAUAACACAUAGUCCAAAUGGGUCGGGUACUGGUUAUAAAAAAAAUAAUUUCCUGAAAACAAAAAUAUUAGAAUGUGAAUAAUGUUCCGAAGCAACACUAUCAUACUUUUUAACAAACAUUUUGAGAAUUUGAAAAAGUUUUAAAAUUACAAUAAAUUCACUCAAUUUGUUGUCCAUUCGAAUUUCCUACUAACAAUGUUGUAGCUGUAAAAUGCACAAGGAAUAUACACAGGACCGUACUACUAGUAGUUUCUGAUAAUUUUUUCAAAUACUCAGUCUAUAAUUAUUAUAAUUUUAUAUCAAUAAUUUCAUAAAAAGUGUAGUUAUUAUUGUUACUUUAUUUAAUAUUUCUGUUCGAUAUUUUCUAAUAAAUUCAUUUACUAAAA